Molecule: long non-coding RNA, 280 nt
Organism: Dermochelys coriacea (leatherback sea turtle)
Lineage: Eukaryota; Metazoa; Chordata; Testudines; Dermochelyidae
Exons: 3
Source: RefSeq, a predicted model, not a curated record
AAAAGUCAGAGACUGGUAUGACAUUCUGUACCUUCGGGGAGCGUAUUGUAACCCUCAUAUUCUUCAUUUUCAUAUCAUCGUGAUCUCACAUAUAAAGCAUGUCUUGUAAGGUAUCAGAGGAAAAGCUAUGAUCUGCUGAAAGUCAUUUCUCUAUCCAGAUAUGUGCAUCAUUAAUGCAUAUAAAGUUAUGAGAAUUGUGUCGUAUAGUGGUCACUAAAGCAUGCUGUAAGUUGGGGAAUCAGCCAAAUAUUAGCUCCCCAGAGGCAAGAGCAAGGAAAGU